RNAcentral lists this ribosomal RNA (444 nucleotides) under uncultured bacterium. RNAcentral's name for it is "bacterial SSU rRNA". It matches the Rfam family "Bacterial small subunit ribosomal RNA", at positions 48 to 507 of the family's 1533-position model. The record is from RNAcentral.
UUUAUACAUGCAAGUCGAACGAUGAAGUUCCUUCGGGAAUGGAUUAGUGGCGAACGGGUGAGGAACACGUGAGGAAUCUGCCCAUCAUUUUGGGAUAACACCGGGAAACCGGUGCUAAUACCGAAUACUCCGUCUUGGCGGCAUCGCUAAGCCGGGAAAGAAUUUCGAUGAUGGAUGAUCUCGCGGCCUAUCAGCUAGUUGGUGAGGUAACGGCUCACCAAGGCAACGACGGGUAGCCGGCCUGAGAGGGCGACCGGCCACACUGGGACUGAGACACGGCCCAGACUCCUACGGGAGGCAGCAGUAGGGAAUAUUGGGCAAUGGGCGCAAGCCUGACCCAGCGACGCCGCGUGAGGGAUGAAGGUCUUCGGAUUGUAAACCUCUUUCAGUAGGGAAGAAGCGAAAGUGACGGUACCUAAAGAAGAAGCACCGGCUAACUAUGUG